Zonotrichia albicollis (white-throated sparrow) is the source of this 888-nucleotide non-coding RNA. Lineage: Eukaryota; Metazoa; Chordata; Aves; Passeriformes; Passerellidae. The record is from RefSeq and is a predicted model, not a curated record.
CCACACUCACUCCAGGUGAAACCACACAUUUCCUUUCCCCUCUGCAUGGGCACAGCCUGGCACAGUCUGAUGGUGCCACAGCAGAGCUCAUCUGUCACCCACACCCCAGCGAGGCUCUGCCCCUGCCAUCAGCUGUGACACAGCCCAGAAAACACCCAAGGAACAGCCCAAACCAAGGCCCAGCCUCCCUGCAGAGCUGGGAAGAGUCCAAAAGACGCAGCCAGCCCUGGGGUGGGUGUAGGACAGCUGGAUGUGGGCUCCUGACAGCCCCAGCUAAGGCUGAGAGGUUCCUUCAGGUAAGAGAACCCCCCCUGUCCCUUCACUGCCUCCCACCCCAACACUGGACCCAGGGCAUGAAGAAAAAGCCAGUCCCUGGUUUUCUGCCCCACAAAACAGCAUCUACUCAGGUCCAGCUGCAGCCCUGAGGGCCAAAAGCAGCUUCUACUCAGUGCAGGUGGAUACAGCUUUACCACAAAGUUCCAUUUCCCCCCCUUCUCCUUCCCCCCAUAGGGCACAGCAGAACAAGCCCAGGAUCAGCAGCUGUCAGGCCAAACCCAGACCAGUCCCACCAGUUCCAUAACUUACAAGGAAACAGAUAAGCUACAGAGAGCUGCGAGUCCUGGAGUAUUUACACCGAGGAGGGGCAGGAACAGGAGACAAAGCAACACAGGCCAAGAGGUAUUUACAGCACGGACACACCGACCCCCCUCACCUCACAAGAACAGCAGCAGCAACAGCAGGUCAGGCCCGUGGUGCUCCUAGGCCGACAGAGAAUCUGGGCUAUUUACAGUAUCUCACAUAUUAACAGCUUUACAAACGUGUCCAGGAAGUUCAUCUCAUGUUUAUAUAUAUAUAUAAAAAAAAAAGCACCAAGUGUCUGAAUAGAAA